UACGUAGGGUGCAAGCGUUGUCCGGAAUUACUGGGCGUAAAGAGUGUGUAGGCGGUGCUCUAAGUUCGGUGUGAAAUCUCCUGGCUUAACUGGGAGGGUGCGCCGGAAACUGGAGUGCUCGAACGUGGGAGAGGAAAGCGGAAUUCCUGGUGUAGCGGUGAAAUGCGUAGAUAUCAGGAGGAACACCUGCGGCGAAGGCGGGUUGCUGGGCUGAUACUGACGCUGAGGCGCGAAAGCCAGGGGAGCGAACGGG
This 253-nucleotide ribosomal RNA is filed under the name uncultured bacterium. RNAcentral's name for it is "partial 16S ribosomal RNA". It matches the Rfam family "Bacterial small subunit ribosomal RNA", at positions 524 to 776 of the family's 1533-position model. The record is from RNAcentral.